UAUUCCAAACUACAAUAUAGGAUAUACUUCUCAGUUUUUUUCCAAAUAUACUAUUUAAACUUUAAAUUUAACCCUCAAGCCCUAUAUCAUAAGUGCAUACACUUUAAAUCUUAUAUCAUACACAUUAGCUCUUAAAAUACCAAUCAAGUAAAUUAAACAAUAAAUCAUAAAAUUAAAACACAGCCAUUAGUUAGGAAAUCCAAUAAUUUCUCUAAACUAAUAAUUUAACUGAAGCUAAAUUAAUGAAUUAUAUAAUGAAAACUAAAUUCAAAAGGUAAGAUGUAAAAGAAGAAUGUUAAAAAAAAAGAUGCAAAAGAAGAAGAAGCGUGUUGAACAAAAACAAAACAAAAAGAAAGAAGAAGCGCAAGUCAUUAAAAAUAAACUAAAUUCUGAUUGGUUGAAAAACAAAACCAUGGAUCACUCUCAAAUCAAUAUCAACCAUUGAUUUUAGAUGAUCUAAGGACCACAACUGAUUUACUUUUCUUCUGUCUCUUUCGUUUCUUUUCUCUCCUUUAAGAAACACACUUCUCUCUCAUCUUCUCCUCAAUUACAAGAACAACAACAACAAAAUCUAAACAUCUUUCCCUCUUUCUCAUUUAUCUCCUUCAACUUUGUCUCGGUCUCAAUCGGCAGAUUUUUCAAGCCAGCACAAUCCAUUGCUUAUCAAUCUCUGAAAAUUUAAACUUGGAAGGAGGAAGAUGUUGACGAAUUCCAUGGCUUGAGGAAGACGACGAUAAGGACGGCGAAGCUGAUGGUUGGAGGAAGACGACGAUAACGAAGCUCGCGGCUGGAGAAAGAAGACGAGGACAAAACUCAUGGCUGUAGGGAUUCAUAAGAAAAUGAGCUCCGAUGAAGAGCAGUGACGAAAAUCAUAAGCAGAGGAGGAGCCGUGGGGUGGCUCGCCGAAGAAGAAGUUCCGGUAGCAACUGCAUAAUAUAUAUUUGUAUAUU
Molecule: long non-coding RNA, 950 nt
Organism: Brassica napus (rape)
Lineage: Eukaryota; Viridiplantae; Streptophyta; Magnoliopsida; Brassicales; Brassicaceae
Exons: 2
Source: RefSeq, a predicted model, not a curated record